This 8864-nucleotide long non-coding RNA is filed under the name Nicotiana benthamiana. RNAcentral's name for it is "long non-coding RNA (NBEN_LNC024467)". The record is from RNAcentral. Lineage: Eukaryota; Viridiplantae; Streptophyta; Magnoliopsida; Solanales; Solanaceae.
GAAGUACCAACUGUGCCUAAGCCAGAGACUGUCCCGAAGCCUGAGAUUCCUAUUAUACCAAAACCUGAAGUACCAACUGUGCCAAAGCCCGAGCUACCAUCCAUCCCGAAGCCUGAGAUCCCAACUGUGCCGAAACCUGAGCUUCCAACCAUCCCAAAGCCUGAAAUACCAGUUGUCCCGAAGCCUGAGACUCCUAUUAUGCCAAAACCUGAAGUACCAAUUGUGCCAAAGCCCGAGCUACCAUCCAUCCCGAAGCCUGAGUUACCAACUUUACCAAAGCCUGAAGUACCAACUGCGCCAAACCCUGAGCUACCAACCAUCCAAAAACAUGAGUUACCAACUUUGCCAAAACCUGAAGUACCAACUGUGCCUAAGCCAGAGAUACCAGCUGCCCCAAAGCCUCCAACUUUGCCAAAGCAUGUGAUCCCAGCUGUGCCAAAACCCGAGCUUCCUGCUAUGCCAAAGCCUGAGAUUCCAACAAUGCCAAAACCCGAGUUUCCUCUCUUGAAAAAGUCAGAAAUCCCAGCAGUGACAAACACGAAGGUUCCUCCAACAAUAAAAAAGCCUGAAGUUCCAGCUUUGCCAAAGCUAGAAAUCCCAGAGCUACCAAAGCCAAAACUCCCAGAGCUUCCAAAGCCUAAAAUCCCCGAACUGCCUAAACCAGAAGUUCCAGCUAUGCCAAAGCCUAAAAUCCCCGAACUGCCUAAACUAACUUUUCCUUCACUUUCUCCCCCAUACAAACCCUCUACUCCUUGAGUAAUUACGUUCACUCUAUUAGAAAGUACCCAAACUGAUGCUUUGAGAUUGCUAUCUCAGUCUAUGAAGUUUGCUGCAUGGGCCGUGACAUGGAGAAAUUUUGGAAGAUCAUACUGGAUACUUUCUGCUAGGUGUAGAAUAUAAAUUCAUUUGUCGUAUUUGAUGUGCCAUGUUUCGCCGGUCAUUAUAUUGUAUACGAGUGUUUUAUGUUCUUUUUAUAUAAAGAUAUGAUCUAUUUCACAGUUUGGACUUACUUCGAUUUAGUUCCUUUCGUUGGCCAUCUCUGAUUUCAAUCAUUGUUUGUCUGAUUUUUCCCACUUCUGUUUUUCUCUAUCCUAUUACUACUUUUUUCCAUUCUCAUUUGACAUUUUGAUGUAUUUAAGAACCAAACCCGGAGAUUUAGGAUGUGUUUUGGUAUAACGGAAAUUAAUUUUCAUAAAAAAUAUUUCCUUAGAAAAUAGAUAGUAAUUUUAUUUAUUUUUCUGUGUUAAGUACACAAAUUAAGAAAAAUAACGUCUCAAGAGUAUUCAUAAAUAAUUUAGAUACAAUAAAUAUGAAGCCAUAAACUUCCGAACCAACAAACUUCCGAACCUACAAAUUUCAUAAACUUUCGAAACUGCUAACUUUCGAACCCGUAAACUUUAUAAAUAUUUCUAAACCCGUAAAUUACUUUAAAUAUUUAACUAAAAUUAAUCUAAAGUAACAAAGAGAUCAAGAAAACAAGUUGGUGAAUUAUAGAGACGAAUUUAAUAUGAGUGAAUAUUCUAGAGCUAUGGGUUAGCUAACAAUUCCGUUGAGUUUUUAAUUUAAAUCGUCUAAUUAAUUUAUCUGAUUAAUUGGUUGACAGAGUUAAUAUUGCUCGUAGCCUUCUCCCGAAGUACAACUCGCCUAUUCAAGCUAACCUAAAGCCUAUAUUCCUAUGGAAUUAAAAUUAACAAGAACACAUUUAUAAUUCCUGUAUAGUAAUCAAGCAAACCGAUUAGGCAUAUUCAACCGAUUAGGUAUAUUCCUAUGGAAUUAGAAUUAACAAGAACGCAUUUAUAAUUCCUGUAUAGUAAUCAAGCAAGGCGAUUAGGUAUAUUCCUAUCCUAACCGCAAAUUCGCUCCCCCCUCCCCCAAGAGUUAAGAUUUUGCUCUACUCAAUCUUAUAUGCAAUCUAGAAUUCCUUCUCUCGAGUUCAAUCCUAGAUCUGUAGAUAGUAUUUAAUUGGUGAUCAAGCAAUCAAAUAAUUUAGCGCAAGAUUGAAUAAAUAAACCAAUAUGAUAAAAUAAUAGGAACAAUCUAAGCUUCAAACUACAACGUUCAUGUAGCAUCCAAAACUCUAGAACUAAUAAACUGUGAGAUUAAAUGAAGAGAAGAGAAGAAAAACUAGUUAGGAGCCUCCUCCAAAGCGUGGUGUGUUCCUCCACGUGAAUUCCCCUUCAAAAUAUGUUCCCUAGGUCUAAGAUCUGUCAUAUGUAUGUCCCACCUCUCUAAAAUAGCGUUUUACAUGUAUUUAUACCAAGUAGGGUCGGGUCCAGAGGGAACAUCUGUCAAAAGUAUGCCCUACCUCUCCAAAAUAAUUAUACCAAGUAGGGUCAGGCCCAGAUAAAAACACCUUCUCCCGCGCGAAAUAGGACUCUGGCUCUGUAAGUUUUGUACAGACGCGCCGCGCCAUGCAGCGCGCUAACGGAGUUUAUCGGCAAGCUGUACUUUUCUUGUCUUGCGACAUUUUACACUGCUGCGUCGUGCCUUGCGGCGUCCUAUGCGGCGCUACAGUUUAAUUUUCUCAGAGUGAACAUAUUUCGUCCUCUUUUAACAUCCAGACAUGGUACACCACCUCUGAACACGAUUCCGACUUGAUUCCUUGGGCUUUUACUCAGACUUUAAAGCUCUAAAUCACUUGAAUACAUUCCAUAACGCAUACAUAGAUCGAAAUCACUCCUACAAGGCAUAAAAUACAUAUUUAGUGCAACACACUAGCGAUUAAAGCUCAAACUCAAUUAAAGUACAGUAAAUUAGAGUGUAAUAAGCGUCUAAAAUACACAAUAAUAGCCCAUCAUCAACACCCUACACUUAAAUCAUUGCUCGUCCUCGAGCAAUCAAACAUUACUUUAUAUAGACACAAUCUUUUUUAAACAAUUCUCCUAAAUCAUCACACCAAGAAUAUUUAAAAUAGACUAAGCACAAGAGUGUAACAUAUUCACCUCAAGAUCUGACUCACAAGUAUCACGCAUUAUUCACAACUCACUCACUUACUCUAACAUAGAAGUCACGGAAACUGCCUUUCCUUCGUGAACCAGGUGCUCUCACACAACAAAAGUGAGUAGUUUCACACAAUAAAAUUUAAGAACACUUAGGAACACAAGAUAAAAAGAAUUCACUCACUCUCAGAAAUAACAUUCAUAUGCCACAGAAGAUGCAUCAUAGGCUUAACUGUAGUGUAUUACUCUACUAAUCGAGCUUAUUCAGUCUAGGAUCAAGUAUGACUUUAUUUGGUUGUAAUGUAGGCUGCAGGAUGGGUAGGAUACAUUUAGAUAUAAUAGUGACUAUACAUCCCUAAGCACUUCAAUACAUACACUUUAACAUUGAAAAGCCCACACUUAUGUCGAACCAUAACUCCACAUUCACACCAAUAUAUAUUAACUCUCCACUUCUUUAAGUACAAUUAUAUCAAGAGUCACCACCACCAUCUAGAAUUAUUUUUCGCAACAAUACAACUAAUUUUUUUUCUUUUCAAUUCACGUGGCUCUUACUUUUUCAAAACAAUGCACCUUUCUCCUUUUUCAUUAGUUCAAAUCAAAAGUCAAACCAACCACCCCCACUUUAACUUUUAUAAAGUUCAUAACAAUUCAAAUGCUCAUGAGAGGUGAAAAGGUUCAAAUAGAUGGUAGUUCAAAAAAAUAGGCAAGACGUGUAAUGUGGUUGCCAAAGAAACAGGAUUAUAGACUCAAAUAGGUUAACAAUGAUAAUAAAAAUUAGGCGGGUAUAUAUAUAUGGCUCAACAAAGAAACGCAUAUAUCACUUCCAAGACUGAACAAAACUACUAUUUCGCUUUGCAAACACAUGGGGCAAGUUCUAGACAUCAAAUGCAUUGCACAGAAUAACACAAAACCUUGCACACACAUAACACAUAAAUCACUCAGGAUUGGACACAUCAAGAUACUCUAGUCAAAGAAGUUAAGCAAAGUUAAGAUCAUACAAUUUAAGGUACUUAUAAAAGAGUUAAAAACUGAGCCUAAGCGUUACAACCAAAGUACUCACUAUUCUCAAGGCAUAACAAUUCAAGAGAUAUUGCUUCAAUUCAAUUCACAUCACCAUGGCUUCUCUCCUAAAAAAAAUAAAAAUACCUACAUCCGGUUCAAACAAAACCCUUGGAAACGAACCGCAACACAAAGAAAAACCAAUGGGAAAUUACUACACUACCUACAAAAAAAUCUUUUUGUCAUUUUUCUUUAGACUUAAAUCCCUCAAGAAAACUGCCUAGGAGAUCCAUCGUCGGAAAAAAUUCAAUUUACUUUUUUACGUUUUUCUAAAUACAAAAAAAUUAUUUAAUUAAACUAACACAACUAAAAUAGCAUAGAAAGUCACUUAGACAUUCUCCUCGCCCCACACUUUAAAUUGUGCAAUGUUCUCAAUGCACACUAUAACUAAUAAGAGGGUAAAAGAGACUCCCUGAUAGGCCAAAGGCCGAAACAUUAGUAUCUCACGAGAUACUCAUACUUCUCCCAGGUAUGCUCCUUUGUGCGGGUACCUCACACUUUGUUUUAACCAAAUGCUCUCCUUUACACAUGCCUAUUGGCUAUGACUUCAUGCUCCUACUCCUACAAAAUACAAAAAUAAUAAUACAAAUAUAAUACAAUAAAAAAAUACAAAAGGAAAAAAAUAAAAUUGAGUUGCCUCCCAAGAAGCAUUUGAUUUAACGUCGCGGCACGACUCCAUCACUUUCAUCACUUUUCCUUCCACUUAGAAGAUAUGAAUUGUGCCCCCAAUUUGGCAUCAAUUUUUCUAUUAUGUUCAUGAGGCGGUGGUGUGAAAAUAAAGAAACCAAACAAAAUAUGUCGCAUCUUCCACUACUUGACCCUUAAGUGAGGAAUGUUGUUUUGUUUCCUUGGCAUCACAAACUUCAGAAUGUAAGGGUCUUGUUCUUCAUCUAUACAUCUCUCCAAGGGUUCGAUCUCCAUGUCUUCAUCCAAACAUAAUGUAGAAAAAUGUAUAAAAUGAGGACCAACACGCCCCAACUCUAAAACUGCAUUAUUUUUUACAUCCUCAGUAAUACAUACUCCCUCAACCUCGGCAUCAUCAACAAAAACAUGGUCUAGUGAUUGGUAUCCUCGUUUUAGCUCCUCAAUUUGGCUUAAAAGAAUUUUUUCAGCUUCACAAAACUCAUCAUUAAAUUGUUGGACAUUACAUGCAUCAACCUUUGCACUCAAUUGGGCUUCCAAGUCGCGAAUAAAUUUUGCCAAAGUGAUUGAUCUCUUGUCCCAGUUCAGCUCUUCCUUCUAUAAAGUGUUAUAUCUCAUUCGUAAUUUUCUCACGGAAACCUCCAUAUUCCUCUAAUAAUUUCAUGUGCACAUCAGGAAUGCGAACAUCAUGUUCAACAUCUUACAAUUCGUUACUCCUUUCAAACUCACAAGAAUUAUAAUUAGAAUCAACACAAGAAGGGACUGGAGUAGGAUAACAACACGUAGGACAAUUGUUCCAAUUUCCAUCACAAAUAGUACAAGAUGAAAAUGGUGCACACAACUCAGUAGUAGGAAUAUUUUUACAAUAUUGCCACAAGUGGAGUCCUUUACAAUAUGGACAAGGAUCACAAAAAUAAGAAUAUUUACUAUCCCACCACUUUUCGUUCAAAGAUGUCAUGUAAAAAGAAAUAUAACACUAACUCCACUAAACUAAAAUUAAAAACUGAAAUAGAUAAAAAAGUAAAAAAUUUAAUCUAGUAAAAUAGUUAAUUUCUAAGUCCCCGGCAACGGCACAAAAAAUUUAUUGCUCCCAAACGCACGCGCAAGUAUACGUGGUCGAGAAGUAAUAUAGAAUUGUAAGUCCAGAUAUCGUACCCACAUGGACUUGUGAUUAACUAUCAACUAAAUUAGACCAAAUAAUCCUAAUGUAUAAAUAUUUAACUAAAAUUAAUCUAAAGUAACAAAUAGAUCAAAGAAAAUAAGUUGACGAAUUAUAAAGGCGAAGUUAAUGCGAGUGAAUAUUCUAGAGCUAUGGGUUAGCUAACAAUCCCGUUGAGUUUUUCACUUAAAUCUUCUAACUAAUUUAUCUGGUUUAUUGGUUAACAGGGUUAAUAUUGCUCAUAGUCUUCUCCCGAAGUACAACUCAUCUAUUCAAGCUAACCUAACGCCUAUAUUCCUAUGGAAUUAUAAUUAACAAGAGCACAUUUGUAAUUCCUGUAUAGUAACCAAGCAAGGCGAUUAAGUAUAUUCUUAUCCUAACCGCAAAUCUGCCCCCUUAAGAGUUAAGAUCUUGCUCUACUCAAUCUUAUAUGCAAUCUAGAAUUCCCUCUCCCGAGUUCAAUCCCAGAUUCGUUGAUAGUAUUUAAUUGGUGAUCAAGCAAUCAAAUAAUUAAGCGCAAGAUUGAAUAAAUAAACCAAUAUGAUAAAAUAAUAAGAACAAUCUAAGCUACAAACUAUAACGUUCGUACAACACCCAAAACUUUAGAACUAAUAAACUAUGAGAUUAAAUUAAGAGAAGAGAAGAAAAACUAGUUAGGAGCCUCCUCCAAAGCGUGGUGUGUUCCUCCACGUGAAUUCCCCUUCAAAAUAUGUUCCCUAGGUCUAAGAUCUGUCAUAUGUAUGUCCCACCUCUCUAAAAUAGCGUUUUACAUGUAUUUAUACCAAGUAGGGUCGGGUCCAGAGGGAAACACCUUCUCCCGCCCGAAAUAUGACUCUGUAAAUUUUGUACAGAUGUGGCGCGCCAUGCGGCGCGCUAAUGGAGGUUAUUAGCAAGCUUGACUUUUCUUGUCAGGCAGCAUUUUACACUGCUGCGCUGCGCCUUGCAGCGUCCCAUGCAGUGCGGCAGUGUAAUUUUUUCAAAGUGAACUUAUUUCGUCCUCUUUGAACAUCCGGACUUGGUACACGAUCUCGACUUAAUUCCUUGGAUUUUUACUUAGACUUCAAAGCUCCAAAUCACUUGAAUACAUUCUAUAACACCUACAUAGAUCGAAAUCACUCUUACAAUGCAUAAAAUACAUAUUUAGUGCAAAAUACUAGUGAUUAAAGCUCAAACUCAAUUAAAAUAUAAUAAAUUAAAAUGUAAUAAGCAAUUAAAAUAAACAAUUAUAGCAUAUCAUCACAAGUCAUGAGGCGUUUUCUUUUGCCCGCCUCUGUUUUACUUUCACUAAAUUAGAAAAGCAACAAAUAUAGAAAGGACAUCAAUCACAUUGUGAUUGCAAAUUUAGAGUUAAUAAAAUAACGUGUAAGGUAUUUUUUUAACACAUUUUGCUUCCUGGAUGAUCAUAUUAAUUAGCUGUAGAUCCAACAAUUCUUUAGCUGCAUUGAAAAAUGCGACGCAGAGAUUAAUUUCUUUGCAAGGAAGUUGAAGCAACGGACCAAUACUGUUUUCUAACAAGUGGCAGCUAAUUAGAUGAGAUAAUGACAGGUUUUGACUAUUAUGGCAUAGUAGUAGAUAGUAUAUUGUUAUUUGUUAAUAAACAGAUUUUGAGCUGCCAGAAGAAAAAUUUCAAGAUAAUAUUGGCAGGCAAAUAGAUGAGAAGUUCAACUAACAUAUCCCUUUCCCAACAACCAAAAUAUUGAAGUCCUACUUUUGUUGCAUGAAUGUAAAACCUAUAUAUAGCAACAGCCUUAUAUCCAAUGCCACAUCCAAAUUUCACUGAUUCUAUACACACUCUUCUUUAAGCUGCUAGGAUUUGCAGAAAAAUGGCUCAUCAUUAUCAGCUAUCCUCCCUCUUACUGCUUGCAUUUCUCAAUUUAUGCUUCAUGAAUGGCCACAUAACAUGUGUUACUGCACGCCGCCUUCUGGAGGCGCCCCUCCCUGAUAUUCCUAAACCAGAAUUUCCAAAAGUUCCAACCUUGCCAAAGCCUGAGAUCCCAACUGUGCCGAAGCCUGAGAUUCCAGCCAUACCAAAGCCUGAAAUUCCUGUUAUGCCAAAGCCUGAAGUACCAACUGUGCCGAAGCCUGAGCUGCCAACUGUCCCAAAGCCUGAGUUACCAACUUUACCAAAACCCGAGAUCCCAACUGUGCCAAAGCCCAAGCUUCCAGCUAUGCCAAAGCCUGAGAUCCCAGCAAUGCCAAAACCUGAGUUGACAAACGCACCAAAGCCUGAAAUCCCAAUGGUUCCAAAGCCCGAGAUUCCUACUAUGCCAAAGCCUGAGCUACCAGCUACUCCAAAACCUGAGUUACCAAAUUUCCCGAAGCCUGAGAUUCCAACAGUGCCAAAGCCUGAGAUUCCAGCCGUGCCAAAGCCGGAGAUACCAAAGUUGUCAAAGCCCGAGCUUCCUCGCCUAGAAAAGCCAGAGGUUCCAGCACUGCCAAAGACUGAGCUUCCUCCAGCUAUGACAAAGCCUGAUGUGCCGACUGUGCCAAAGCUCGAGCAACCAGUGGUGCCAAAACCUGAGAUUCCCACUGUGCCAAAACCAGAAAUCCCGGAGCUACCAAAGCCAAAAAUCCCUGAGUUACCUAAGCUAGAAGUUCCAGCUAUCCCAAAACCAAAAACCCCAGAAUUGCCUAAACAAACAAUUCCAACCUCCCCAAGCCUACCAAAGGAGAUACCAUUUCCUUCACUUUCUCCACCAUAUAAACCCGCUACUCCUUGAGUAAUUAUGUAUGGUACUGGUCAUUCUAUUAGAAGGUACAUGAGGUUUUGAGAUGUGCCACCUCAGUCUGUGAAGUUUGCUGCAUGGGUCAUGACAUGGAGUUAAUUUGACAGAACAUAUAUACUGGAUACUUUCUGCUAUGAUUAUUUAAUAUAUAAUUCAUUUGUCGUAUUUGAUCUAAAAUGUAUCUUGUUCCACGAGUCAUUAUGACUCUAUGAGUCUUAUAUGUAACUUUUAUUCCAUGUAUUAAAACUAUGAUUUUUGUGAUUUUCCGGAGUUAUUACUUUGAUAUAUUUCUUAUUCGUAGCCAUAUCUGAUUUUCAUCCUAAUGCACAUUGGAUUCGG